This 433-nucleotide long non-coding RNA is filed under the name Rosa chinensis. RNAcentral's name for it is "sRNA RchiOBHm_Chr3g0468841". The record is from RNAcentral. Lineage: Eukaryota; Viridiplantae; Streptophyta; Magnoliopsida; Rosales; Rosaceae.
UGUCUAUGAUGAUUCUAUAUCUCUGAAAUCAUGAUUAAAAGGGAAUCACAAAAUUGAGAUAAUUUUUAAAAUGGUAUUCUUUGGUUAAUUGAGAUAUAUGAAAAAUGCAUGCAUGUGUAGUGGAUAUGGAUUUCGUAACCUUGGUACAGAAUAUGAGCAUGUUAGGAUGAGUUUUGAUUCAUAAAAGCCCCUGUGAGAUAUUUGAGCCAUGUCCCUUUUUCUUGGAGUGAUAAUUGAAAAAUAUAUUCUUAAUUUCUUGGCGAUAUUAAGUUUGAUGGACUAGAAAAUGCUAGAAUUCGCUCUUGUGCUUGUUGAGACGUUUGUCAAUAUAUGGCCCUGAUUCUGGAAGGGAUAGAGGCAACCUAGGAAUUACCACCAUUGCUAAAUAAGCAUGUGUCCCUAUUUGUGCCCGUCGUGGGACUCCCUUAGAUAA